UGGGGAAUAUUGGACAAUGGGCGAAAGCCUGAUCCAGCCAUGCCGCGUGUGUGAAGAAGGUCUCCGGAUUGUAAAGCACUUUAAGUUGGGAGGAAGGGCAGUAAGCGAAUACCUUGCUGUUUUGACGUUACCGACAGAAUAAGCACCGGCUAACUCUGUGCCAGCAGCCGCGGUAAUACAGAGGGUGCAAGCGUUAAUCGGAAUUACUGGGCGUAAAGCGCGCGUAGGUGGUUCGUUAAGUUGAAUGUGAAAGCCCCGGGCUCAACCUGGGAACUGCAUCCAAAACUGGCGAGCUAGAGUAGGGCAGAGGGUGGUGGAAUUUCCUGUGUAGCGGUGAAAUGCGUAGGUAUAGGAAGGAACACCAGUGGCGAAGGCGACCACCUGGGCUCAUACUGACACUGAGGUGCGAAAGCGUGGGGAGCAAACAGG
Molecule: ribosomal RNA, 429 nt
Filed under: Pseudomonadota bacterium
Lineage: Bacteria; Pseudomonadati; Pseudomonadota
Description: Proteobacteria bacterium partial 16S ribosomal RNA
Rfam family: Bacterial small subunit ribosomal RNA
Source: RNAcentral